This 423-nucleotide ribosomal RNA is filed under the name uncultured bacterium. RNAcentral describes it as "partial 16S ribosomal RNA". It matches the Rfam family "Bacterial small subunit ribosomal RNA", at positions 360 to 776 of the family's 1533-position model. The record is from RNAcentral.
AAUUUUGGACAAUGGGGGAAACCCUGAUCCAGCCAUCCCGCGUGUAUGAUGAAGGNCUNNGGGUUNUNAAGUACUUUUGGCAGNNNNNAAAAGGUAUCCCCUAAUACGGGAUACUGCUGACGGUAUCUGCAGAAUAAGCACCGGCUAACUACGUGCCAGCAGCCGCGGUAAUACGUAGGGUGCAAGCGUUAAUCGGAAUUACUGGGCGUAAAGGGUGGUUGGGCGGUUCGAAAAGAAAAAUGUGAAAUCCAAGGGCUAAACCUUGGAACUGCAUUUUUAACUGCCGAGUUAGAGUAUGUCAGAGGGGGGUAGAAUUCCACGUGUGGAAGUGAAAUGCGUAGAAAGGUGGAGGAAUACCGAUGGGGAAGGAGGCCCCCGGGGAUAUAACUGACGCCAAACAACGAAGGCGUGGGAGCAAACAGG